This 499-nucleotide ribosomal RNA is filed under the name uncultured bacterium. RNAcentral describes it as "partial 16S ribosomal RNA". It matches the Rfam family "Bacterial small subunit ribosomal RNA", at positions 30 to 523 of the family's 1533-position model. The record is from RNAcentral.
AUUGAACGCUGGCGGCAUGCCUUACACAUGCAAGUCGAACGGCAGCACGGGAGCAAUCCUGGUGGCGGGUGGCGAACGGGUGAGUAAAGUAUCGGAACGUGCCCAGUCGUGGGGGAUAACGUAGCGAAAGUUACGCUAAUACCGCAUACGAUCUAUGGAUGAAAGCGGGGGAUCGCAAGACCUCGCGCGAUUGGAGCGGCCGAUAUCAGAUUAGGUAGUUGGUGGGGUAAAGGCUCACCAAGCCGACGAUCUGUAGCUGGUCUGAGAGGACGACCAGCCACAGUGGGACGGAGACACGGCCCAGAGUCCUACGGGAGGCAGCAGUGGGGAAUUUUGGACAUGGGCGAAAGCCUGAUCCAGCCAUGCCGCGUGCAGGAUGAAGGCCUUCGGGUUGUAAACUGCUUUUGUACGGAACGAAAAGGUUUGGCCUAAUAAGCUGAGCUCAUGACGGUACCGUAAGAAUAAGCACCGGCUAACUACGUGCCAGCCGCCGCAGUAA